RNAcentral lists this ribosomal RNA (496 nucleotides) under Mycetia gracilis. RNAcentral describes it as "eukaryotic LSU rRNA". The stretch from base 5 to 160 matches the Rfam family "5.8S ribosomal RNA". Lineage: Eukaryota; Viridiplantae; Streptophyta; Magnoliopsida; Gentianales; Rubiaceae. The record is from RNAcentral.
AAACGACUCUCGGCAACGGAUAUCUAGGCUCUCGCAUCGAUGAAGAACGUAGCGAAAUGCGAUACUUGGUGUGAAUUGCAGAAUCCCGUGAACCAUCGAGUUUUUGAACGCAAGUUGCGCCCGAAGCCAUUAGGCUGAGGGCACGUCUGCCUGGGCGUCACGCAUCUCGUCGCCACCCCCCUCGCGCCUCUAUGGGUCGCGUGCGAGGGGUGGCGGAUGUUGGCCUCCCGUGCCCACGAGGCGCGGCCGGCCCAAAUGCGAGUCCUCGGAGCGGGACGUCACGACGAGUGGUGGUUGAACUCUCAACACGAGUGCUGUCGCGACGACGCCCCCCGACGGACUGCCACGACCCUCAGAGCCCCUCGAAUUGCGGGGCCUCCGAACGCGACCCCAGGUCAGUCGGGACUACCCGCUGAGUUUAAGCAUAUCAAUAAGCGGAGGAAAAGAAACUAACAAGGAUUCCCCUAGUAACGGCGAGCGAACCGGGAACAGCCCA